CACAAGCGGUGAUGAUGAUGACUUCAUGUCGCAGUCCUGAAAAUUCAUGUGGGUCUUUAAGUCACUACCUCAUCUGAGCUUUAU
Small nucleolar RNA from Xyrauchen texanus (razorback sucker), 84 nucleotides. RefSeq annotates it as small nucleolar RNA SNORD11B. The record is from RefSeq and is a predicted model, not a curated record. The transcript has a single exon. Lineage: Eukaryota; Metazoa; Chordata; Actinopteri; Cypriniformes; Catostomidae.